Molecule: ribosomal RNA, 727 nt
Filed under: Staphylococcus aureus
Lineage: Bacteria; Bacillati; Bacillota; Bacilli; Caryophanales; Staphylococcaceae
Description: partial 23S ribosomal RNA
Rfam family: Bacterial large subunit ribosomal RNA
Source: RNAcentral
CGUGUGCUUACAAGUAGUCAGAGCCCGUUAAUGGGUGAUGGCGUGCCUUUUGUAGAAUGAACCGGCGAGUUACGAUUUGAUGCAAGGUUAAGCAGUAAAUGUGGAGCCGUAGCGAAAGCGAGUCUGAAUAGGGCGUUUAGUAUUUGGUCGUAGACCCGAAACCAGGUGAUCUACCCUUGGUCAGGUUGAAGUUCAGGUAACACUGAAUGGAGGACCGAACCGACUUACGUUGAAAAGUGAGCGGAUGAACUGAGGGUAGCGGAGAAAUUCCAAUCGAACCUGGAGAUAGCUGGUUCUCUCCGAAAUAGCUUUAGGGCUAGCCUCAAGUGAUGAUUAUUGGAGGUAGAGCACUGUUUGGACGAGGGGCCCCUCUCGGGUUACCGAAUUCAGACAAACUCCGAAUGCCAAUUAAUUUAACUUGGGAGUCAGAACAUGGGUGAUAAGGUCCGUGUUCGAAAGGGAAACAGCCCAGACCACCAGCUAAGGUCCCAAAAUAUAUGUUAAGUGGAAAAGGAUGUGGCGUUGCCCAGACAACUAGGAUGUUGGCUUAGAAGCAGCCAUCAUUUAAAGAGUGCGUAAUAGCUCACUAGUCGAGUGACACUGCGCCGAAAAUGUACCGGGGCUAAACAUAUUACCGAAGCUGUGGAUUGUCCUUUGGACAAUGGUAGGAGAGCGUUCUAAGGGCGUUGAAGCAUGAUCGUAAGGACAUGUGGAGCGCUUAGAAGUG